This is a long non-coding RNA of Nematostella vectensis (starlet sea anemone), 866 nucleotides long. RefSeq lists it as uncharacterized. The transcript is spliced from 2 exons. The record is from RefSeq and is a predicted model, not a curated record. Lineage: Eukaryota; Metazoa; Cnidaria; Anthozoa; Actiniaria; Edwardsiidae.
UAUUGGGGAAAAAAAUAUAUUAAACAGGGGCAAUUUGCUUUGUUUCGAUAUCCAAACAUUGUCUUUAAUCAACUUUGACCAAUGGCCUUUUCAAUGUACUGAUUGAGACGUGUAUUUUAUUUUUUCCGUUUUAACAACGCGGGUACCCUGUGGUUUUUCUCCGAAAUGGAGAAAGAUGUUCCACCAAAGGGAUUUUUGGGGACUUUUAGUAUGUUAACUAGGUUGUAUCACUUGUUCAAAAUCCGCUGAGAGAAAUUAUAUUGCAGACAACAAUGAAGACAGGAUAGAACAACGCGAUUGGCCUUGUGUUCACCCCAUGCAUGCGAAGCAGGUUGAUGGCUGCAACUGUGGUGUCUUCAUAUGCUUUUUUUCCCGUUGCCUGGCUCUUGGAAUUCCACCAACUUCGAACUGAGGGCGGCUGCUGUCUCAAGUCAUUGGAUCCUGCUAUGAUGACAUAAAUAGUUAAUUGUUAAGGACCCCAUAGCUAAAAAUAGAGAGGGGCUAAAUUUGCGGACAAAAGGCCCUGUUAUAAAUCAAUUGUUUACUAAUUAAUGCCUUUAUUAUAUUCAUUAAUAUUGAUGCUGAGCAUAUAUUGUUGUUUGACUUUCUAAAAACAAAUAUAAGGUUGAUAAAUUCUACCAAGGUAUCCCCUCCUCUUGGAGAAAGAGCAACAAUAGUAAUCAUUUUGUGCCCAAAAUGGUUUAUCCACUAGUUCUCCUGCAACUGUAAACAAUAAUUUUAAUCACCUGUUCAAGCUCUGAUGUAAAAAAUAUGGUACCUUAUUUGAACUAAAAUGUUAUAAGCAUAAGAGCCAGCAUAUCCCAACCUCACGAUUUUGAGUAUAAAACUAUAAACAGUUUUCUAGC